UUGACCUCAAAUCAGGUAGGAUUACCCGCUGAACUUAAGCAUAUCAAUAAGCGGAGGAAAAGAAACUAACAAGGAUUCCCCUAGUAACUGCGAGUGAAGCGGGAAAAGCUCAAAUUUGAAAUCUGGCGGUCUCCGGCCGUCCGAGUUGUAAACUAGAGAAGUGCUAUCCGUGCUGGACCAUGUAUAAGUCUCCUGGAACGGAGCGUCACAGAGGGUGAGAAUCCCGUCUUUGACAUGGACUGCCAGUGCAUUGUGAUGCGCUCUCAAAGAGUCGAGUUGUUUGGGAAUGCAGCUCAAAAUGGGUGGUAAAUUCCAUCUAAAGCUAAAUAUUGGCGAGAGACCGAUAGCGAACAAGUACCGUGAGGGAAAGAUGAAAAGAACUUUGGAAAGAGAGUUAAACAGUACGUGAAAUUGUUGAAAGGGAAACGCUUGAAGUCAGUCGCAUUGGCUGGGAUCAACCUUGCAUUGUGAGGUGUACUCCCUGGUCAAUGGGUCAGCAUCAGUUUUGGCCGCCGGAAAAAGGUUGGGGGAAUGUGGCAUCUCUGGAUGUGUUAUAGCCCCUGAUUGUAUACGG
This 574-nucleotide ribosomal RNA is filed under the name Pluteus plautus. RNAcentral's name for it is "eukaryotic LSU rRNA". It matches the Rfam family "Eukaryotic large subunit ribosomal RNA", at positions 1 to 576 of the family's 3401-position model. Lineage: Eukaryota; Fungi; Basidiomycota; Agaricomycetes; Agaricales; Pluteaceae. The record is from RNAcentral.